This 1325-nucleotide long non-coding RNA is filed under the name Pan troglodytes (chimpanzee). Its description in RNAcentral is "lncRNA (ENSPTRG00000053286.1)". The record is from RNAcentral. Lineage: Eukaryota; Metazoa; Chordata; Mammalia; Primates; Hominidae.
UGAUCCUGCGGCAGUGGCUCUGAUCAUGGAAAUAUAAAAUCAGUGGUGCAGACUUUUCUCCAUGCAAAGCCAAUUGAUUCCUAUUCAGACAAUCCUUUUUGCCAAAUGCCCAACAAGAAAGGAGCAGUUAUGCAGAACUUGUGGUAGAAGGAGGGAAACUGAGGACCUUAGACAUCUCCGUCUGAUGAGUAACUGCUACCAGUCACAGCUUGGAGAGCUGGACACUUCACCACUCAGGUAUGGAAGGUGAAGGCCAUGUUUUUAUCCUAUUAAUUGCUUGUUUUUUAAAAGAAUUGCUGUUUUUGGAUAAAUUGAAAUCAAAGUUUCAAUCUCAGGUCAACAGAUGUCUGAAAAUAACAGCAAGAAAGAAAUGAAAAAGAAUCUCCCACAGAGGUAUGUUAUAUCAUUUCCCCGCAAGUCUUUUAACACAGGGUGGAUGAACAGCUCUCUAGCAUUAUGUGAAUGGGAGGCUGCCUAAAGGAAGGGAAAUGGGUUGGAUAAUUUGGGGACUCCCUCAGCUAAUUUAGAAAAUUCUCUGUUUUUUUCAAUGGUGUGGGUUCUUGGAAGAAAAUGAAGAGCAUGGGGAAGAAUCCUCAAGAGAUUGCAAGCUUUGAUCAAGUGUGCUCCUAAAGGGAAACAUUAAAGACAGUCUUUAAAACAAACAAACAAAAAACAAAUAAAAAGCCUAUUCUGAAAGUCCAUAUUAAAUUCUUAUUUAUAGAUACUAAUAGAUGGUAGCUCAUGGAGUUAGGGGCAAAGAGAGGUGCUUAGGAAAGGUCUGCUUCUAUCAGAAAAGGUAUGAUUUAAAAUAUUAUAAUUUAAUUUUAACCUAAUGCUCUUUUUGCAAAUAUCUUCCACCACCUUCUCUAAACUCAGAGCUCCCUAGUAUAAACAGUUUUCUGUGCUUGUUAUAGUAGAGUUACCUCAGGUCUCCAGGUCUCACUGGCCCAGGGAGGACAACAAAGCCAUUGCCAAACAAAGGUACAGUAAUGCCCAGAAUGCUCAUUGUAUUAAAUUCCUUCCAUCUGAUUAAGAGGACACUGGGGAGUCUCCUUUGUCCUCCUGAAAACCAUGAUGCUCUAUGCCCAUGCUGUAUGGAAUGUAUUAUUUUCUCUUUAAUUCCUAAUACGCUGUUCCCUGAUCACUGCAUUGGCAGCCUUGAGCUCUAAGUUUUCUUUCCUAGAGCUUUUAAAAUGUUUAUUUAUUUGACCCAAACUUUACUAGAGAUUCUAAUUCCAGAUUAAGGGCCUUGACUUCAGUAACCAGAUUCAACAGAUAAAAUACUGGAUCCCCCAUUAAAUUUGAAUUUUAGGUAAACAUUGACU